RNAcentral lists this ribosomal RNA (238 nucleotides) under uncultured bacterium. RNAcentral's name for it is "partial 16S ribosomal RNA". It matches the Rfam family "Bacterial small subunit ribosomal RNA", at positions 100 to 334 of the family's 1533-position model. The record is from RNAcentral.
CGGGACGGGUGAGUAACGCGUGGGUAACCUACCCUGUACAGGGGGAUAACGAGUCAGAAAUGACUGCUAAUACCGCAUAAGACCACAGCACCGCAUGGUGCAGGGGUAAAAACUACCGGUGGUACAGGAUGGACCCGCGUCUGAUUAGCUGGUUGGUGAGGUAACGGCUCACCAAGGCGACGAUCAGUAGCCGGCUUGAGAGAGUGAACAGCCACAUUGGGACUGAGACACGGCCCAA